Pyrus x bretschneideri (Chinese white pear) is the source of this 713-nucleotide long non-coding RNA. RefSeq lists it as uncharacterized. The transcript is spliced from 2 exons. The record is from RefSeq and is a predicted model, not a curated record. NCBI's taxonomy places the organism in Eukaryota, Viridiplantae, Streptophyta, Magnoliopsida, Rosales, Rosaceae.
UUUAAACACCCGGAGCAAUGCGCGGACACUUUUACUAGUGGUACAAAUACUAAAAUUCAAUUUUCUGGCACUCUUCAUUAAAAGUGAAAUGGCGAAAAUACCCUCGACUUCUUCUUUGCUCUGUGUACUGUUUCCACUUCUACAGUGGAAAGUCGGCUGUGCUCUUCCCAGCCACGCGUCUUUCAUCGUUUGUUUCUCUGCUUCGACCGUCUCUUUUUCGCUUUUACCCUUCCUCUUCGUUUUUCACCACAUUACCCUUCUCGUCAGCCCGUCUUUUGCUCUCAAAUCCCUUCUUUUACUUUCGCAAAAUAGUCUCACAAGAGAUCCUGCGUUUGAAUUUUUUUUUUUUUUUUUUUUUUUUUUUUUGGAUUUGGAUUCCAGUCUCUCCCGGUAUUGAAUCCUUUGCUAUUCGGCGUUUUGUUCUCAUCUUGCCAUCGUCGGGGCAAGAACUUUAAGGUUGGGACAAAUUUUUUGUGAAAUUAUUGACAAAGAAAUUAUAUUGAACUUUGGUAAGUUUUAAAACAACUACGAGUAAUUUUCGAUUCUCAGUUUGUAUUUGUUUGAAAAAAAACCCAGAAAAUUGGUUCUCUCUGUGUUCUCAAUUGAUUCAAAGCAUAGCAUUGGAAAAAAUAUGUAAUUAUUGGGGGUUUUUGUUUUUGGUGGAUUUAGAAUUUUGUCUAAGUUUUAUUAUAUUGGAGUUGAAUUUGGUUGCU